RNAcentral lists this ribosomal RNA (1343 nucleotides) under uncultured bacterium. Its description in RNAcentral is "16S ribosomal RNA". It matches the Rfam family "Bacterial small subunit ribosomal RNA", at positions 28 to 1378 of the family's 1533-position model. The record is from RNAcentral.
GACGAACGCUGGCGGCGUGCUUAACACAUGCAAGUCGAACGGAAAGGCCCUGCUUUUGUGGGGUGCUCGAGUGGCGAACGGGUGAGUAACACGUGAGUAACCUGCCCUUGACUUUGGGAUAACUUCAGGAAACUGGGGCUAAUACCGGAUAGGAGCUCCUGCUGCAUGGUGGGGGUUGGAAAGUUUCGGCGGUUGGGGAUGGACUCGCGGCUUAUCAGCUUGUUGGUGGGGUAGUGGCUUACCAAGGCUUUGACGGGUAGCCGGCCUGAGAGGGUGACCGGCCACAUUGGGACUGAGAUACGGCCCAGACUCCUACGGGAGGCAGCAGUGGGGAAUAUUGCACAAUGGGCGGAAGCCUGAUGCAGCAACGCCGCGUGCGGGAUGACGGCCUUCGGGUUGUAAACCGCUUUCGCCUGUGACGAAGCGUGAGUGACGGUAAUGGGUAAAGAAGCACCGGCUAACUACGUGCCAGCAGCCGCGGUGAUACGUAGGGUGCGAGCGUUGUCCGGAUUUAUUGGGCGUAAAGGGCUCGUAGGUGGUUGAUCGCGUCGGAAGUGUAAUCUUGGGGCUUAACCCUGAGCGUGCUUUCGAUACGGGUUGACUUGAGGAAGGUAGGGGAGAAUGGAAUUCCUGGUGGAGCGGUGGAAUGCGCAGAUAUCAGGAGGAACACCAGUGGCGAAGGCGGUUCUCUGGGCCUUUCCUGACGCUGAGGAGCGAAAGCGUGGGGAGCGAACAGGCUUAGAUACCCUGGUAGUCCACGCUGUAAACGGUGGGUACUAGGUGUGGGGUCCAUUCCACGGGUUCCGUGCCGUAGCUAACGCUUUAAGUACCCCGCCUGGGGAGUACGGCCGCAAGGCUAAAACUCAAAGGAAUUGACGGGGCCCCGCACAAGCGGCGGAGCAUGCGGAUUAAUUCGAUGCAACGCGUAGAACCUUACCUGGGUUUGACAUGGAUCGGGAGUGCUCAGAGAUGGGUGUGCCUCUUUUGGGGUCGGUUCACAGGUGGUGCAUGCCUGUCGUCAGCUCGUGUCGUGAGAUGUUGGGUUAAGUCCCGCAACGAGCGCAACCCUUGUUCACUGUUGCCAGCACGUUAUGGUGGGGACUCAGUGGAGACCGCCGGGGUCAACUCGGAGGAAGGUGGGGAUGACGUCAAGUCAUCAUGCCCCUUAUGUCCAGGGCUUCACGCAUGCUACAAUGGCUGGUACAGAGAGUGGCGAGCCUGUGAGGGUGAGCGAAUCUCGGAAAGCCGGUCUCAGUUCGGAUUGGGGUCUGCAACUCGACCUCAUGAAGUCGGAGUCGCUAGUAAUCGUAGAUCAGCAACGCUGCGGUGAAUACGUUCCCGGG